UACGAAGGGGGCUAGCGUUGCUCGGAAUCACUGGGCGUAAAGCGCACGUAGGCGGACUUUUAAGUCAGGGGUGAAAUCCUGGAGCUCAACUCCAGAACUGCCUUCGAUACUGCCGUGCUUGAGGACUGGAGAGGAGACUGGAAUUUACGGUGUAGCGGUGAAAUGCGUAGAUAUCGUAAGGAAGACCAGUGGCGAAGGCGGGUCUCUGGACAGUUCCUGACGCUGAGGCACGAAGGCCAGGGGAGCAAACGGG
RNAcentral lists this ribosomal RNA (253 nucleotides) under uncultured bacterium. Its description in RNAcentral is "partial 16S ribosomal RNA". It matches the Rfam family "Bacterial small subunit ribosomal RNA", at positions 524 to 776 of the family's 1533-position model. The record is from RNAcentral.